AAAUAAAAUGCUUCGCUGGGCGCAGCUUGAUACGACCGCAGAGGUCGAACCCUGAACAGUUGGGGCAAGUAUGGACACAACAUUCAAGCUUGAUACAGCUCUGAAUUUGGAUUGUGAUUAAAUAUUUGACACAGCAUAGGUUCUGACACAGAAAGAAUGUGGUCUAAGAACUUCAAUUUUUUUAAUUUACCUAUUAUGGUCCAAUGUCCAAAAUCAAAAUACAUGGUUAGAUUCAGCAUAUCAAAGAACCCCA
Molecule: long non-coding RNA, 253 nt
Organism: Mytilus californianus (California mussel)
Lineage: Eukaryota; Metazoa; Mollusca; Bivalvia; Mytilida; Mytilidae
Exons: 2
Source: RefSeq, a predicted model, not a curated record